GAUGAACGCUGGCGGCGUGCCUAAUACAUGCAAGUCGAGCGAACAGACGAGGAGCUUGCUCCUCUGACGUUAGCGGCGGACGGGUGAGUAACACGUGGAUAACCUACCUAUAAGACUGGGAUAACUUCGGGAAACCGGAGCUAAUACCGGAUAAUAUAUUGAACCGCAUGGUUCAAUAGUGAAAUACGGUUUUUCUGUCUCUUAUAGAUGGAUCCGCGCCGCAUUAGCUAGUUGGUAAGGUAACGGCUUACCAAGGCGACGAUGCGUAGCCGACCUGAGAGGGUGAUCGGCCACACUGGAACUGAGACACGGUCCAGACUCCUACGGGAGGCAGCAGUAGGGAAUCUUCCGCAAUGGGCGAAAGCCUGACGGAGCAACGCCGCGUGAGUGAUGAAGGUCUUCGGAUCGUAAAACUCUGUUAUUAGGGAAGAACAAAUGUGUAAGUAACUAUGCACGUCUUGACGGUACCUAAUCAGAAAGCCACGGCUAACUACGUG
Molecule: ribosomal RNA, 497 nt
Filed under: uncultured bacterium
Lineage: Bacteria
Description: partial 16S ribosomal RNA
Rfam family: Bacterial small subunit ribosomal RNA
Source: RNAcentral